UGGGGAGUACGCNGGCAACGGUGAAACUCAAAGGAAUUGACGGGGGCCCGCACAAGCGGAGGAACAUGUGGUUUAAUUCGAUGAUACGCGAGGAACNUUACCCGGGCUUGAAAUGUAGAGGAAUAAGUAGGAAACUAUUUAGCCAGCAAUGGUCUCUAUGUAGGUGCUGCAUGGUUGUCGUCAGCUCGUGCCGUGAGGUGUCGGCUUAAGUGCCAUAACGAGCGCAACCCACAUUGUUAGUUGCUAACAGGUUAAGCUGAGGACUCUGACAAGACUGCCAGCGUAAGCUGCGAGGAAGGUGUGGAUGACGUCAAAUCAGCACGGCCCUUACGUCCGGGGCGACACACGUGUUACAAUGGGUGGUACAAAGGGCAGCUACCGGGCGACCGGAUGCGAAUCUCUAAAACCACUCCCAGUUCGGAUUGGAGUCUGCAACUCGACUCCAUGAAGCUGGAUUCGCUAGUAAUCGCGCAUCAGCCAUGGCGCGGUGAAUACGUUCCCGGGC
RNAcentral lists this ribosomal RNA (505 nucleotides) under uncultured bacterium. Its description in RNAcentral is "bacterial SSU rRNA". It matches the Rfam family "Bacterial small subunit ribosomal RNA", at positions 874 to 1379 of the family's 1533-position model. The record is from RNAcentral.